GACGAACGCUGGCGGCGUGCUUAACACAUGCAAGUCGAGCGGUAAGGCCCUUUCGGGGUACGACGAGCGGCGAACGGGUGAGUAACACGUGGGUGACCUGCCCUCAGCUCUGGGAUAAGCCUGGGAAACCGGGUCUAAUACUGGAUAUGACUCCAUGACGCAUGUUGUGGGGUGGAAAGCCUUGUGCGGCUGAGGAUGGGCCCGCGGCCUAUCAGCUUGUUGGUGGGGUGAGGCCUACCAAGGCGACGACGGGUAGCCGGCCUGAGAGGGCGACCGGCCACACUGGGACUGAGACCCGGCCCAGACUCCUACGGGAGGCAGCAGUGGGGAAUCUUGCGCAAUGGGCGAAAGCCUGACGCAGCGACGCCGCGUGAGGGAUGACGGCCU
Molecule: ribosomal RNA, 387 nt
Filed under: uncultured bacterium
Lineage: Bacteria
Description: bacterial SSU rRNA
Rfam family: Bacterial small subunit ribosomal RNA
Source: RNAcentral